CAGCACCUCAAGUGGUCAGGAUGAUUAUUGGGCCUAAAGCAUCCGUAGCCGGCGCUGUAAGUUUUCGGUUAAAUCUGUACGCUCAACGUACAGGCUGCCGGGAAUACUACAAAGCUAGGGAGUGGGAGAGGUAGACGGUACUCGGUAGGAAGGGGUAAAAUCCUUUGAUCUAUUGAUGACCACCUGUGGCGAAGGCGGUCUACCAGAACACGUCCGACGGUGAGGGAUGAAAGCUGGGGGAGCAAACCGGAUUAGAUACCCGAGUAGUCC
Molecule: ribosomal RNA, 270 nt
Filed under: uncultured archaeon
Lineage: Archaea
Description: partial 16S ribosomal RNA
Rfam family: Archaeal small subunit ribosomal RNA
Source: RNAcentral